UAGGUAGCGCCUCGUGAAUUCAUCUCCGGGGGUAGAGCACUGUUUCGGCUAGGGGGCCAUCCCGGCUUACCAACCCGAUGCAAACUGCGAAUACCGGAGAAUGUUAUCACGGGAGACACACGGCGGGUGCUAACGUCCGUCGUGAAGAGGGAAACAACCCAGACCGCCAGCUAAGGUCCCAAAGUCAUGGUUAAGUGGGAAACGAUGUGGGAAGGCCCAGACAGCCAGGAUGUUGGCUUAGAAGCAGCCAUCAUUUAAAGAAAGCGUAAUAGCUCACUGGUCGAGUCGGCCUGCGC
RNAcentral lists this ribosomal RNA (296 nucleotides) under Salmonella enterica subsp. enterica serovar Thompson. RNAcentral describes it as "partial 23S ribosomal RNA". It matches the Rfam family "Bacterial large subunit ribosomal RNA", at positions 871 to 1164 of the family's 2925-position model. The record is from RNAcentral. Lineage: Bacteria; Pseudomonadati; Pseudomonadota; Gammaproteobacteria; Enterobacterales; Enterobacteriaceae.